Molecule: ribosomal RNA, 502 nt
Filed under: uncultured bacterium
Lineage: Bacteria
Description: bacterial SSU rRNA
Rfam family: Bacterial small subunit ribosomal RNA
Source: RNAcentral
UGCCUAACACAUGCAAGUCGAACGAAAAAGUGUGGCUGUAGCAAUACAGCUGCACCUGAUAAAGUGGCGAACAGGGUGAGUAACACGUAGCAUAACCUACCCUCGAGCGGGGAAUAACCCGGGGAAACCAUGAGCUAAUACCGCAUAACAUUCCGGUGACUUAAGCCACUCGGGAUCAAAGGCCCGCAAGGUGCCACUUGAGGAGGGGGCUGCGCCCGAUUAGCUAGUUGGUGGGGUAAUGGCCUACCAAGGCGAUGAUCGGUAGCCGGCCUGAGAGGGCGCACGGCCACACUGGACACUGAGAUACGGGCCAUGACUCCUACGNGGAGGCAGCAGUGGGGAAUUUUGCACAAUUGCCCGAAAGGGUGAUGCAGCAACGCCGACGUGAGGGAUGAAGGCCCUCGGGUCGUUAACCUCUUUCGAUCGGGACAAAAUGGGCGGGUUGAAGAGCCCGUUCUGAUAGGUACCGGAUGAAGNAGCCCCGGCCAAACUACGUGCCAGC